UGAUGUCUUACAUUGAUUGUAUGAACGUGCCAUCGAUUACAAUGAUUGGAAAGUAAUGGUGCCAUGCUUGAAUGGAUGCUCCAAUGGCAAAGAAUAAAUACUUGAAACGACCAUUUGUUUCCAACUCCAGGGCUGUGACGGAACCUGAUAUGAAAUUUCAGCAAUAUCAUUAUAAUUACAAGUAGCAUAUAGUAUCCAAACUUGUAGAAAAUGGUAACCAUUUAUAUGGUUAAUGGUA
RNAcentral lists this long non-coding RNA (238 nucleotides) under Panax ginseng (ginseng). Its description in RNAcentral is "long non-coding RNA (PGIN_LNC014138)". Lineage: Eukaryota; Viridiplantae; Streptophyta; Magnoliopsida; Apiales; Araliaceae. The record is from RNAcentral.